Molecule: long non-coding RNA, 4172 nt
Filed under: Panax ginseng (ginseng)
Lineage: Eukaryota; Viridiplantae; Streptophyta; Magnoliopsida; Apiales; Araliaceae
Description: long non-coding RNA (PGIN_LNC015745)
Source: RNAcentral
UUAAUUGUGAUUUUAUAUUUGUAAAGUGUAAUAAUAAAUAUAUUUUUUCAUUUUUAAGUAAAAUAACAAAUUCAAUUUAUACUUAUAUUUAUUAUAAAACUAGCAAGUUAUUAUGUGUAUAUUCGAAUUCGAACUUGAAUUUGAAGCUCGCGAGUAGUUUGAAUAAAUAUUCGAGUCGAGUCGGAUCGAAUUCGAGUAAUAAAUAUUCGAGUCGAGUCGAGUCGAAUCUGAGUAGGAUUUUUCAAAUAUAAUUCGAAUUCAAGCCGAAUUUGAAUACGAAUUUAUCAUUUCGAGUCGAAUUCGAGUAGCUCUCUGUUCGCUUCGGUUCGACUCGUUUACACCCUUAGUCGCCAUAGACUAGAAUAUAUAGCUGUAGCGACGGGUGAUGUAGUGAAUCGUAUUUUUCCUGAAUGAAUAAAUUAAGAGUUUACCAGAAUUUUUUUAUUAUGUGUUAUAUAUAUAUUGUAUAUAUUAUCAUGUGCAGUAUAAUAUGUGAUGUGGUGAUAUGUCAAAUAUAAUAAUUGAUAUUUAUUAUAUUUAGUAGUUACCCUCUACUUUAACAGAAAAUGAUUUAUGGAUAUUUUAUCCAAAAUUUUUGUAAUGUAUUUUAGUGUAUCUAAAAUAUGUUAUAAAUGGUGCAAUAAAUGCAGAAAGGGGAAGUAAAUGUUAUUUUCUCACCAACCACAGCCUUAAGAGUUAAAGCUUAACAGUAGAAAAUCAAAACUCAGCUUAGUGGUUAGAUACGUGGCUUUUAAUAUGAGAUAAUGACUCAGUAACUUAGCAUGUGCUGGCAAUCAUUUAUUAACAUAGCUCUACAAUUCAGCUUGUCUAUAAUGUGAUUAGCCGAGCUAGUAUGCUUAUAUAGCACAGUUUUAAAUUCUUAAGGUCAGUUUCUCUCUUAAGUAAAACACAAUUAGUGGUAUACAAACUCUGAAAUUUCUACGAGCUGGGCUAAGCAAGUAAGAGUUAGAAGGAUAUCAAAAUUUGGGGUUAGUAAGUAAGAAGAGCUGAAACAAAGCUGAAGCCAACGACACAGAGAUACAGAAAUUAAAGGUAAUUUUUCUUUAUACAGUAGAGUAAAGUUAUAUAUAUAUGAAAGAAGUGUGUAAUUGAUGAUUCGUUUGGUUGAUAAAAGUCUAUAUGAGAUAUAUAUCUGUGAUGCUGGGAUUAAAUGGUUGAAUAAAUUUAACUGGUAGAGUAAUUGGUAAGUUUAAUUUUUAUAACAACCGAUCAUGCAUGGGAUAUUGAAACUCACUGUUUGUUAAUAUCAAACUUUUAAAUUAAAGGAAGGCUAAUAUGUAUUUGUCUAUUUUGUUUACGGUAAAUAUGUUUGGCUAAACUGUGAAAUAAACUAUUUGUGGCUGGAAUAUUGAUUAAUGGAGAUAUGUUGGUUGUGGAGUAAUAAGGAAGCUAAACUGGGGAUUUAAAGAAAAUAAAUAGCUAUGACACAUGUGUUGUAAAACAGUGCCUGUAAAGUGUUUGAUAAAAUUCCUUAAUGAACUGUUUUGCUUAACAAUUGCUUAUUUGUCAGAAUUAAAGCUUGGGUUAUAUAUAUAUACCAUGAAUAAGGGUAAGUAAACUGUUGUGCCUUGUUAAAUGGAAUGAAAACUAAAUUUUUUAAAGCUAAAACUAAAUGCUAGAAUUUAGCCUGGCAAGCAUUUUUACUCACUGUUUUGGGGCAGUCAGUUGGCACCAAGUUGAUUGCAUAUCAUGUGUAAUGAUUAUAGAUUGCAUGUUAUUUUAAAAGGUGGAGUGUAUUAAGUAAAUAUUUCUAAGAAAAAAUUGUGAAUAACUUACCAAAUGGUUGCCAAAGAUGGCAUAGAAUAAGAACAGGGCUGCUGCCCACGGUAGCAGCCAUGGCUAUUUUUGGCAUCAGGUGGGGGCCUUCCUUGAGCUCUUAUUUAGUGCAGAUAAAUUCUAAAAUAGCCCAGCUGAUAUUGCUCUGUAAUGAGAGUAAAUACCAGUUGUGUAUUGUCCAAAACAAAGUGUAAAGGGGUCAUUAAUGUAGGGGUUAAAGCUGAGUAAGGCACUGGACGGACUGCUGCCUAUGGGCUGCAGCAGUUGAUGUCAAAAGAUUAUCUUAAUAACCUUUAGUGGAGGUACCCAUUAUAUUAUUUUUAAAACUCCAUAUAAACAAGCCAAGAAUGUAAGGAAUAAAAGUUUAACAAGGUAGUGGUUAAGAGAAGGGGGGCUGCUGCCUAACGGCAGCAGCAGUUGGCUGUUUUGGGCAAUACACAAGGGGUCUUCCCCUGCUCUUGUGGAUGUUGAAUAGUAAUAAACCAUAACGGUUGAUUAAUACUUUCUUAAAGGGGUGGGUACACCACCAAUUUGAUAUUCAAAAGGUAACAACACAUGGACCAAAAAGGUGAGAAUUAUGAUCUCUUAAAAUAAGGAAUUGGGGAAAAAGGGACUGCUGCUUAAUGGCAGCAGCAAGCAGUUGCUAUUGUUGCAUUGGUAAGCCAUUUUUGGCGUUGUGUUGUAAUUCGAGAGUUUACUCCUAACUCUUAACUUCUGGAUAUAAUAUAUAUAUAUAUAUAUAUAUAUAUAUAUAUAUAUAUAUAUAUAUAUAUAUAUAUAAUAUAUAAUAAAACCAUAACUUAAUUAGAUGGGUAAUGAAAAAAACAAGAAAGAAUUUGUAACGAAAUAGCAUAUCAGAAUGAGUCUAUAAAUCAUGAAAAAUACCACGGAAUAACCAUACAAGUGGAAUUAUCUUUGAUGUAAAAGAUAUACUAUCAAGUUACCUUGUGAAACAUGAAAUACCUUAGGUAUUCACCUUGAAUACCUAAGUUAUAAAGAAAAUUGCAAACUAUACUUGUGGCAAAUGAAAGAAGUAAAAGAAAUAUGAACUAAAAUCAUAAAAAGUUCAUGAACAGAAAUUAUGUCAGACCCUAUAACAGAAAGAAAAGGCUAUUGUAAGAACAUGAAUGAGAUAUGUGAAAAAAUGUAAAUAAAUAUCUCAAGUAUAAGAAUAUAAACUAAAAACAUGAUCACUGUGAUUAUGUGAUAUGUGAAUAUACAAGCUAUAUGACUUGGCUAUUUGGCUAAUAUGGUUGUGAAUGCAAAUAAUUAUGUAGGAUCUGUGAGAAUACACAAGUGAGAAUACACAAGUUAAGCUGAAAAUUGUACAAAUAGUCUACAAACAAGGAAAUUAUCUAAAUCUUACUCUUUAUUGAGCAAGUAUUUUGAGAUUAUUCAUAUGUGGACAGGUUUUUUAAAUUCUGAACUGUCUUUCUUUAUUAUAAAUAUUAUAAAAUUGAAUAAUCUUUUUAUUCCAAUCAGCUUCAAAAGAUUGGAUAAUGUAUUAUCAUGUAUAUCAAAUAAAAUUCAAUAUACAUGAACAGGUUGCAAAGAAGUCUGAGCCAUUCAUUCUGGCCAGACACAGAUGUAAAAUAUUUCAAUUUCUUUAUAUUAAGUCUUGAAAUAUUAUUGUGCCAUGAUUUAAGUUGUCCAGCUAUAUUGUUGUAGUUGGAAUCUAAAACUGAGAAUGAACAUACCCUUAAAUGGGAUAUUUUUAUUGCACUCUGGGAGUGGUGAUGUAGAACAUGAAAAUUGUUCUGGAAAAGAUAGUAUUGAUCAAUACAGGGCAUAAAGGGCUGAUCACCCUACGUGCUCGUAAGUUAAGACGAUUGUUCAUCUGAUAAAAUUUCUGAUUGAACCUUUUCAAGAAAAAGAAAAAUAUGUACAUGGUCUUAAAACCUCUCAGUUAUUCAAUAUUGUUAUGAUAAUCCAGAAAUGUGAAUGAUUUGAGAUUCGUUGCUUUACAAUUUUAAUUCACUGUCAAAGCAUGCUUCAAAGAAAAUAUUUAUUUCUUGUUAAGCUUUAAAAAAAUGCUAUUACUUGCGGAGCAAUUAAAUGCUCAUACUUGUUUAUUUAUAAAUGUUUUCAGCUGAGCAGACUCGGGCGGAAGGGUCUAGAAAAGACAAGAAAAAAGGAGAAAUAAUAGAAUAGCUGAAAGUUGAUGUAAUAGAUAGUUUUCAUGUUUGUAAAUAUUAAACUAUCAUGUAAUGAACGUUUAAAGGUCUACGUACCUGGGAUUAAAAGAACUUUGAUGUAAUAACUUUACUAAAUAUUGGUUUAUUAUAUUCUGAACAUUUUAUAUCGUGAGCACUGAAUAAGGGUUUCAAGUACCCGAAUUUGGGGGCGUCACAGGUGAACCGUCACUAUAAUCCAAA